ACCAUGUAGUAGUUACUUAUUAAACAGAAAGAAUUGUAUGGAGAUUUACUUCCAUAAGUAAGACUACCAUUCUCUGCCAAGAUUGAAACUUUUAUUCAGUGCAUAACUUUUGUAAAUGAAAAAAUGAAUUAUUUUUAACAGGAUGUUUAAGAUUGGUUCUGUAUUGUUUUCAAAGUAUAUGCUCAAAUAACUUAUUUCCUGAAUAUGCCUUUUGAGAAAAUGACCUGUCAAAACAGAUGUUUGCUUUUUAAAUUAUCUCCCUUCGAAACAUAUUUUUUAAUACAAUAAGAUAUAUCCAGUUAAUAUUCUUUAGAGCAAAAGACAUUCAAUUAAGUUAUAUUUCAAAGCUAACCUCUCUGAAGGACAGAGAAUUCACAUCUAAAAACAUGUCCUUGAGUCUAAUCUCUGUAAUUUAUUCAUUGCUAAUCCAGCCCCAUUUGGGGAGAAACAAUAUAUGGUUUAGUAUGGAAUUGUGUGAGAACCUGCUGAAUUCAAAUAUUACCUGAUUGAAACAGUUGAUUUUAUUUCUGUUGUUAAAUGGUAUUCAAGGUUGAACCAAGUAGAUUCCAAAUGUAUGAAGACCAUGCUAUACUUUUUUUCUACUUAGAAUUAAUUAAUUUUUGAAGUCAUUGAAACAUUUGUUCACUUUUUAAGAUGUCUGCCAUCUGACACAUCUUUUGCUGAGUGUUCAGAGACAUGCUUACUUUCUCUUUGUUUUGUGUGAGGAGGUGAAUUCUUUCCCUUUAGCCUGGUUUAUCUGCAUAUGCAGUAAUUAGUUGGGUGGUGAAUUAAAUGAGUUACACCUGAGUUAGUUGAGAGCUUUAAUCUGCUUGCAUGAGUAGGAAAAUUCUAAGCUUUCACUGAACUGAAAACCAAACUCAUUGGCAGGAUAGAGGGUGACAAUGGUUGAAGCUAAUGAGGUUCUGUUGGAAGGGAUUGAAUAAUCAUUUAAAAAUCCAUUCAUGGGCUGAGCUGGCUGUCAGGACAGGGCAUCAUCACACAUAAGAUGCACACUGUGGUUAGUAUAACCCUCUCAGGAGAGUCUACUCCUCAAAACAUCAACAACCAUAUUUUAACAAUAGGAGCAAAUGUAUGACGGACUUGUGUUUCUUAAUCAAACUGAAAUUCUUCUUUUGGCUAACAGUUUCCUGUAUUGGGGGAAAAUGGCUGUUCCAUCUUCUGUUUGUUUCUAAGAGCCAGCAACAAGCUCUUGGCACCAGUAUUCACAUUGGGUUUUCAAACAUUCGGCAAAAAACAUCAAUAGCAUCUGCUCACACCUCAUCACCCUAUCCCACAUUCAUUUGAUGAAUGGCUGUAACUACUUGGGUGAUUAGAUUUUGCACCCUUCAGUAUUCAAACUCAGCACUAUGGCCUAACUUCAGCAUAGUUAGAAAGUUGCUUCAAAACAAUCAAAUUUUGCCUUCAGCCUCACUCACUUGACUCACUCACUUGACUUGACUCACUUGACUAAAUAAUAGAGCCAAAUAUUGUGGACUCCAGUCCUAGCUUCUAUGACUUACUGAAGGACCAUGACAAUUCCUGGAUAGGAUCAAGAGGCCAAGAUUUAAAUCAUGACUCUGUAUGGGCUAGCUUUAAGAUCUUGGUCAAGUACUUUAAGUCUAUUUUUUUUUGAUUUAAAUUAUUUAUUUGCAAACAUUUUAAUCAUCAAAUACACUUAAUCCAUUGUAUUUCUUUUAUAAGAAAAUAAUGAGGAAUUCCUUUCAUGGAGCAGUGGAAACGAAUCUGACUAGGAACCAUGAGGUUGAGGAUUCGACCCCUGGCCUUGCUCAGUUAAGGAUCCGGCGUUGCUGUGAGAUGUGGUGUUGGUUGCAGAUUCGGCUUGGAUCUGGCAUUGCUUUGACUGUGGCGAAAGCCGGCAGCUGUAGCUCUGAUUCAACCCCUAACCUGGGAACCUCUGUAUGCCAUGGAUUGUGGCCCUAAAAAGCAAAAUAGUAAUAAUAAUAAUAAUAAUAAUAAUAAAAACAGGAAUAAAGGAAUAAA
RNAcentral lists this long non-coding RNA (2001 nucleotides) under Sus scrofa (pig). RNAcentral describes it as "lncRNA (ENSSSCG00040050380.1)". The record is from RNAcentral. Lineage: Eukaryota; Metazoa; Chordata; Mammalia; Artiodactyla; Suidae.